AACGAACGCUGGCGGCAUGCCUAACACAUGCAAGUCGAACGAGACCUUCGGGUCUAGUGGCGCACGGGUGCGUAACGCGUGGGAACCUGCCUUUAGGUUCGGAAUAACAGUGAGAAAUUACUGCUAAUACCGGAUGAUGUCUUCGGACCAAAGAUUUAUCGCCUUUAGAUGGGCCCGCGUUGGAUUAGCUAGUUGGUGGGGUAAAGGCCUACCAAGGCGACGAUCCAUAGCUGGUCUGAGAGGAUGAUCAGCCACACUGGGACUGAGACACGGCCCAGACUCCUACGGGAGGCAGCAGUGAGGAAUUUUCCGCAAUGGGCGAAAGCCUGACGGAGCAAUGCCGCGUGAAGGAAGAAGGCCUGUGGGUCGUAAACUUCUUUUAUCAGAGAAGAAUAUUGACGGUAUCUGAUGAAUAAGCCCCGGCUAACCCUGUG
This 434-nucleotide ribosomal RNA is filed under the name uncultured bacterium. RNAcentral describes it as "bacterial SSU rRNA". It matches the Rfam family "Bacterial small subunit ribosomal RNA", at positions 29 to 507 of the family's 1533-position model. The record is from RNAcentral.